CCUCGCAGCCGCCGCCGAUCCCCGCCCCAUCUUCCUCCCUCAAACGCUAACCCAAUGACCAUGAGUGUGCCGCCCCCUCCUUCCACCCAUCUCGCGAUGCGCUGCCGCCCGUCGCGGCCGCCCACGCCACCUCUGUCGCGGCCGCCCCCGCCACCUCCCGUCGCGGCCGCCGCCCCAGCUCCAGCCGCAGCCUUCGCGCCCACGUCCCACCGCGGUCGCUGCCCUGCGCGCAAAUGACCCCUUCCCCCGCCCCAGCCGCCAUCGCAGAUCCCUCCACCGCCGCCGAUCUAUUUGCUAGAGCCAUAUGACCAUAUGAUCCCUCUACCACCUCAUCUCGUGCUCCUGACAUGCCGAGGGGGCGAGAGGAGUAAGAGAGCAGGUACGAGUGCGCAGAGGAGGAAGAUGCCUGCCGUGAAGCUGCCAAGCGAGAAGACAGAGGAGGAGCGAUACUUGCGGAGGCGGCCGAGAUCGGGUACUACAUCUUCUUAGAUCUUCGCCGUCGUCUAGGUCAGGCCUCCCUCAGAUGCCCUGAUCCUCCAUCAUCAGGUUCUCCAUCUUCUUAGAUCUCACCCUUCCGUACCCAAUCGGCCAAUCCUCUCGAAUCGCAUCUCACCUGUCUCUGGCGAUGACUCCGGCCUGACAUCUCACCUCUCACAGUAUCCUCUCAUCUCUCUCCCGGGGAUGCCCUGCACUCUCCUCUCUAUGUCUGCUAGCGGUGGCGGCGGCCGGAAAUAGAGGGGACCAGUGGCAACGUGGAAUGGUACCCAGGGGCGUUCUGGUACAGCGCGAGAGGAAGCAGAUGAAUGUGCCACAUGUGAGAGGGAGAGGUCUGUAAUGGUAUCUGGUGGUGGCCUCUUGAAAAGAACCCAAGAUUCUCACUAAUAUCCUGUAGCUUGCUGUGUUCUUCGGGCUCUCUCAAACGACAAGAAGAUGAGUUACAGCGAAUUAUACGUCUCACCCCAUUGUUUGUACAAUGGUAUCCACUUUGAGUAGUAGUGUUGUGGGUUGUGGCUAACUGGCUAUGUGAAUUUGUCAGUGAUUUUGCUAGCUUUGAUGUGUUUCGGUUGGAUGAAAUGGAGUGUGUCGGUGCAGGUGCGAUGCAUCCGAUUGAGUAUAGGAGGACCGAGGACAUGUGGUGAGGCGUUGUGCCCUGUGGCACAACGACAAGGGUGCGCACAAGCUGACCAGCGUCUAGCUCCAUGGCCUCAUCAAUGACAGAACCAGAGGAACAAAUGAUCGUCAAUGGUGCACUAAACCAUGAGAGUGCGGCGCCUUCUGUGUUGUGGACAUGGCAUGGGCUGUCUUCUGUCCACUGCUGUGUUCUUGCUGCCAUUCCGCGGUAUAUUGGAGUGUUUCAUCCUAAUAUAUGUCUGGUUACAUGACCACAAAGAGAUAGAAGGAUAUGAUGUAAGCAAACGUGGACACUCAAGAAGAAGCUGGAAAAUCAGGAUUGGAAUCCAACGAGGAAAUCUGAAAGCAUAGACCAUGUUUAAGAACUGGCUGUUUUUGUUGUGCUAUUUUUAAGAAACAGGAUUUGUCUCGAAGGAAAUGAAGCUUACCAACAAGGAAAUUAUGGUGAUGAGGCACUUUUCUCCACCCUUGGCAAUACAGAGGGACCUCCUAAUGACACACGAUGGAAACGGAUCCGUGGAUUAAUUCAGAUGGCAUUAAUUGGAGAGAAGGGAUCUAGCUAGGUUUGCAAUGGCAUGUGUACUACCAAAAAAUAACAUCCUCAGGUUCUCUCCUGCAAAUCUAAAGACCAUGUUCGCAGAGCUAAUAAAUGUAUAUGGGUUAAAAUAAAGAUGAUGUGUAUUCACCAAUAUAUAUGUAUUUCCAUCAAGAAAUAAGUUUGGAAGAGUAGUAAGUACCACGCCAUUUUCUUUCAUAAUACAAUGGUGUUUAUUUGAUAAUGUGUUUCUAUGACAUGCAUAUGUUGCUUUAAUUUGCUCGUCCGCGAACCCCUCAAAAUUAUCUGACAAUCUGCUUAUACAAACAGCUUUGAGUUUGGUGCACUCUAUUGCUUUGUUAGGCUUGGUGGUGUAUCAGAUUCAGGAGAAUAAUAGUCCCUCUGUCAUCAUAUUUUUGUUUGUGGUAAUGCAUGACAUUCAACUGUAUGUAACAAUAUGGCAAUGACUCAAGAGACAUCGGAUCUGCCUUCUUGGCUUAGGGCAUCAGGGGUGGCACACGCGUCCCACUUGGUGGCGGUGACAGAUCGGCAAGAACAAGGGUGGGGUUGUAUUAAGGAGGAGAGCGGGGCGGUUGGCGAGGGACUCCUCCUUGGCGGUCCGUGGGGAAGUAAGGUGAGGUGGAUCUCAUUACUAGAGCCAUAUGACCAAAAAGAUGAUAGGAAAGGCUCUUUCCAAGCAUACAAGCAUAAGGUCAAGUUUAUUUCUUAAUAUAAUUUGGCCAGUCUGAGACCCAAUACCUUUGUUCUGCAUAGAUUUCUCAUACUAAUUCUGCCAUCGAUUAGGAGUGAAAUCACCAUGACAUUUCCAAGCUUUGUCUUUGAUGCUCGGGUCGAUGAUACCUGAAAUUCUUAGGAGUUCUUUCGAAUCAAAACAGUAGAAUGUAAGCUUGUGGUGACUUUGUGAAGUUUUGGCAUUGGACCGUUUGAAACUUUAGAUUGGCAGAGAGCUAGAGACCCUGGUGGUCUGAAGGAUGUUAAAUUUGAGAACACAAAUUAUUGUUGUUAAAUAAUCUUUGUUUCCUUCAUUUGGAAAAGUUAGCGUUGUUGGGAGUUUGAUAUUGCAGAGCUAGGAACCGGCGAGGUAGGCCACAUCGUUGACGACGACUGUCAUGGCCUCCACUUGUGCCCUCAUGCAGGUGGACUGCUGGUCAUUGAUGGAGUCGGGCUCUUGCAGCAAAAUCUAUGAUAUUCUCUGGAAGCUGCAGGUAGGCCAGGCUGUUCAUGAAGAUCCGACGACGACCACCAAGGUUGUAAUCUGCUGGUGCAGUGUUGCUCUGCUUUGAUUUGGGAAUUCCUAUGGGAUCUAUUUUUGAUUGGCCAAAGCUGGUUUGUUUGCUGCCGUUUGGUUUAACAUGAUGCUAUAAUGCGCUACACACAAAUAUGUUAUUCCAGUACAAGUGGCCGGUCAGUUAAUUUGAGGAUCUUUUGCCUUUUGUUCUUCAGGCCUAUAGUGUGUGGUUUCAUUCCGACAGUUAAAACUUGCAUUGGCUUGUUAAACUUCAUGUGACCGGAUCAGUAGGGGAGGAUGAUCACAUAUGGAAAAUACUGCUCCAUGUUGAUGAACCGAUGACCUCAGAUCAUGCUGUAUGUAUACUCCACUACGUACGGAUAGCCCGCUCGUCGUAUCUUGACAUAGUGAAAUCAACUUUGAUCGAUGGAGAUGGAUUUCUUCCCUGUUGGUGCAAUUGUAUGUUCACGUGGUUCUUUCAGGUAUACAAACAACAAUAUAACAACUCUAGAAAUCUACAUCUUAAUACUGCCCUAUUUUCGCGGAUUAUAAUCUCCAGGCUGGAAUCAACAAGCCCACAUAAUCUUCAGUCUUCCACAAUUAUGUUUUGCUUCAUGUUCUAUGAUCAGGUUGUAAUCUGCUGGUGCGGUGCUGCCCUGCUUUGAUUUGGGGAUUCAUCUGGGAUCUAAUUUUGACAGAACAAAGCUGGUUUGUUGGCUGCUGGCUGGUGUCACCUGAUGGUACUGUGCUACGGAGACUCGGAGAGAGAUGUUUUUCCAGCAACAGAAGUGGCCAGUUAGUUAAGUUGAGGAUUUGUUCCAUCUCUUCUUCAGGCCUGUAGCUUGUGGUUUCAGUCAGAUAGUUAAAGUCGCAUUGUCUUGCAACAGCGAGUGACUGCUGGGUUAACUGUUUGUGGUUUCAGUCGGAUAGUUAAAGUUGCAUUUUCAGUCGGACACAUGUUUGUUGUUUUUCCUGCUUUUUUCUUCACUGCACACUCCCGCCGUUCGUUGUCGUGCAAUGUUGAAGUUAUUCAUGCGGUGGGGUGGAUGGAACAAUCCUUCUGCUAUUGCCACUGCUUCCAUUCAUCAAGAUAUCUGUCCAUGCAUAUCUUCUUGAUGAACAGACAUAAAACCUUGGAUGCCCAUAAAUAUGUUAGGUAAUAUCCAUCCACGGAUAUUCUCAAAGACAGCGGCGGGGGGCAUAUGAUGAAGGAUUUGCCAACAAGGGGGUUAUCGUUAAUUACCCCGUUUGCUGAAGAUGCAUUCAACAAAGAAGAUAGUUGUGGGGAAUUUUUGCAGUGCUCAAUGCGAUUUUCAAUAUGAGCCAUCUCGAGUCUGAAGUCCAAACCAUGCAACCUCUUUCGGACUAUGAAAAUAUGAGCCGCUGGGCUUCCUUCCAAUUGGUUGGUGCCUCAAGAAGCCUCAAAUAGGGUGGAAGACUAAUUUGAGCUUCGAUUUUGUUGGCAAAUCGAGGGGAGGAGAAAUCAAAGUCAUGGAGAAAAAAUUCGACCCUAGACCCCAUGGCCUCGAGUUGUGUGCAUGUGUGGUGCGACAAAUUGGCGCCCAUUAGGCGGCGAUUAGACACUAAGUGGUCAUGCGGGGACAUGUGAGGGACCCAUCCUACCUCAAUGGAAAAACAGUGGAACAAGUCCAUGACAUUUGAUGUCAAUUGCGAGAGGUAGUAUCAUGGACGAAUGUACAGGGUAUAUUUCAGAUCUUGAGCUAUGGUUAUUAUUGGGCUAGGAACUUGUGUUAUUUUUUUCCCGUUGCAACGCACAGGCAGUUUUCCUAAUAAUAUUAAAUUCCUACCCUUCAUAACUUGUAUUUUUUGACGAUAAGUAAGUUCCUAAGUCUAUGUUACGUUUAAGUUAAAAGUACAAUGUCGAUGUGGGCCAUACAUACACCGAUUAAUAAAGCGGCUAGUACUUAAAUUGACCAUCAUGUCCUAUGUGCCUUAGGGUUAAGUUUUAAUCUCCACCAUUGACUCUCUUAAGGUGGGUAUACUGAAGCAGACCCCUUAUAAUUAUGAAUGGUUUAUAAAGUUGAAGGAUGAAACUUGAACGAACACAAUGCUGAGGUUUGUAAAGUGGAGCCAAAGACAAGUUCGAGUGAGAAAUAUGUACUUCUCUCAAACUAUAUUAUCAGAUGACGAUGAGGGCCUUGAAGAUGAUGAAAAUGAGUUUCUCAUGGUUCUAUUUUGUUGUAGGCGAAUUCUUUAAUUAUAAUUAUCAAUGUGUUUGUUUUUAUUAAGGACACAAUGACAUGCAAGGCGAGGGAAAUUGAGGCCAAAACAUUCAGCACGGCCGGGAGUGUGCCAUUUUUUCUAUGACAGGUGGUGGUUCUUCAAUCUUCAUGGAAUCAAGCGGUAGCACCAGAUGCUGACAUGCAUGGAAGGUAGCAAUAUGUGUAUUUGUAUCAAAUCAUCCAAGAAUGUGCUCUGAAAUGA
This is a long non-coding RNA of Triticum dicoccoides, 5360 nucleotides long. RefSeq lists it as uncharacterized. The record is from RefSeq and is a predicted model, not a curated record. Lineage: Eukaryota; Viridiplantae; Streptophyta; Magnoliopsida; Poales; Poaceae. The transcript has 12 exons.